AAAACCCCUAUGAGCAUGGCUGGACUAGGAGAAAAACAGAAUUUUGAGAAGAGGAAAGUGAAAAGUUUCUAUUGGAGCUAUACUUUUGCAUAGCUCAUCUCAAAGCAGAAUCUCCUAAAUAGGUAACAUUCACCAAACUAUUUAAGUGAAAAAUACAAGUCCCUAAAUUUCUGCUUUAUUGAAAAUUUAGACCAGGGGACCCCAACCCACAGGCCACAGACCGAUCCCGUCAGAUCAGCUGCAGCAUUAGAUUCUCAUAGGAGUGCGAACCCUAUUGUGAACUGCGCAUGCGAGGGAUCUAGAUGGCGCGCUCCUUGUGAGACUCUAACUAAUAAUGCCUGAUGAUCUGAAGUGCAACGGAUUCAACCUCCACCCUCCUCUUUCUGUAGAAAAAUUGUCUUCCCCAAAACUGGUCCCUGGUGUCAAGAAGGUGGGAGACCGCUGUCCUAGAGGACACAGCUCUUCUUUAAAGUCUCCAUUUCUGUCUCUGAUCACUGGGUUUAUCACAGGAAAAACACCACCCUGA
RNAcentral lists this long non-coding RNA (526 nucleotides) under Papio anubis (olive baboon). RNAcentral describes it as "lncRNA (ENSPANG00000044463.1)". Lineage: Eukaryota; Metazoa; Chordata; Mammalia; Primates; Cercopithecidae. The record is from RNAcentral.